RNAcentral lists this ribosomal RNA (496 nucleotides) under uncultured bacterium. RNAcentral's name for it is "partial 16S ribosomal RNA". It matches the Rfam family "Bacterial small subunit ribosomal RNA", at positions 28 to 507 of the family's 1533-position model. The record is from RNAcentral.
GACGAACGCUGGCGGCGUGCCUAAUACAUGCAAGUAGAACGCUGAAGAGAGGAGCUUGCUCUUCUUGGAUGAGUUGCGAACGGGUGAGUAACGCGUAGGUAACCUGCCUGUAGCGGGGGAUAACUAUUGGAAACGAUAGCUAAUACCGCAUAACAAUGGAUGACACAUGUCAUUUAUUUGAAAGGGGCAAUUGCUCCACUACAAGAUGGACCUGCGUUGUAUUAGCUAGUAGGUGAGGUAAUGGCUCACCUAGGCGACGAUACAUAGCCGACCUGAGAGGGUGAUCGGCCACACUGGGACUGAGACACGGCCCAGACUCCUACGGGAGGCAGCAGUAGGGAAUCUUCGGCAAUGGGGGCAACCCUGACCGAGCAACGCCGCGUGAGUGAAGAAGGUUUUCGGAUCGUAAAGCUCGGUUGUAAGUCAAGAACGGGUGUGAGAGUGGAAAGUUCACACUGUGACGGUAGCUUACCAGAAAGGGACGGCUAACUACGUG